RNAcentral lists this ribosomal RNA (490 nucleotides) under uncultured bacterium. RNAcentral describes it as "partial 16S ribosomal RNA". It matches the Rfam family "Bacterial small subunit ribosomal RNA", at positions 30 to 507 of the family's 1533-position model. The record is from RNAcentral.
AUUGAACGCUGGCGGCAGGCUUAACACAUGCAAGUCGAGCGGUAGCACAGGGGAGCUUGCUCCCUGGGUGACGAGCGGCGGACGGGUGAGUAAUGUCUGGGAAACUGCCUGAUGGAGGGGGAUAACUACUGGAAACGGUAGCUAAUACCGCAUAACGUCGCAAGACCAAAGAGGGGGACCUUCGGGCCUCUUGCCAUCAGAUGUGCCCAGAUGGGAUUAGCUAGUAGGUGGGGUAAUGGCUCACCUAGGCGACGAUCCCUAGUUGGUCUGAGAGGAUGACCAGCCACACUGGAACUGAGACACGGUCCAGACUCCUACGGGAGGCAGCAGUGGGGAAUAUUGCACAAUGGGCGCAAGCCUGAUGCAGCCAUGCCGCGUGUGUGAAGAAGGCCUUCGGGUUGUAAAGCACUUUCAGCGAGGAGGAAGGUGGUGAGCUUAAUACGUUCAUCAAUUGACGUUAUUCGCAGAAGAAGCACCGGCUAACUCCGUG